This 425-nucleotide ribosomal RNA is filed under the name uncultured bacterium. RNAcentral describes it as "partial 16S ribosomal RNA". It matches the Rfam family "Bacterial small subunit ribosomal RNA", at positions 354 to 796 of the family's 1533-position model. The record is from RNAcentral.
GUGGGGAAUCUUAGACAAUGGGGGAAACCCUGAUCUAGCCAUGCCGCGUGAGCGAUGAAGGCCUUAGGGUUGUAAAGCUCUUUCAGAUGGGAAGAUAAUGACGGUACCAUCAGAAGAAGCCCCGGCUAACUCCGUGCCAGCAGCCGCGGUAAUACGGAGGGGGCUAGCGUUGUUCGGAAUUACUGGGCGUAAAGCGCACGUAGGCGGACUGGAAAGUCAGGGGUGAAAUCCCGGGGCUCAACCCCGGAACUGCCUUUGAAACUCCCAGUCUUGAGUUCGAGGGAGGUGAGUGGAAUUCCGAGUGUAGAGGUGAAAUUCGUAGAUAUUCGGAGGAACACCAGUGGCGAAGGCGGCUCACUGGCUCGAUACUGACGCUGAGGUGCGAAAGCGUGGGGAGCAAACAGGAUUAGAAACCCGUGUAGUCC